AUUGAACGCUGGCGGCAGGCCUAACACAUGCAAGUCGAGCGGAUGAAGGGAGCUUUCUCCUGGUUUCAGCGGCGGACGGGUGUGUAUUGCCUAUGAAUCUGCCUGGUAUUGGUGUAUAACGUCUUCAAACGGGCGCUACUACCGCAUACGUCCUGAUCGUGCAACUUGGGGAUCUUCGGACCUCACGCUCUCAUAUGAGCCUAGGUCGGAUUAGCUAGUUGGUGGGGUAAAGGCCUACUAAGGCGACGAUCCGUAACUGGUCUGAGAGGAUGAUAAGUCACACGGGAACGUGGACACGGACAAUAGGACUACGGGAGGCAGCAGUGGGGAAUAGUGGACAGUGGGCGGAAGCAUGAUACAGCCAUGCCGAGUGUGUGAAGAAGGUCUUCGGAGUGUAAAGAACGUUAAGUGGGGAGGAAGGGCAGUAAGUUAAUACCUAGCUGUUGUGACGUUACCAACAGAAUAAGCACCGGCUAACUACGUG
This 484-nucleotide ribosomal RNA is filed under the name uncultured bacterium. Its description in RNAcentral is "partial 16S ribosomal RNA". It matches the Rfam family "Bacterial small subunit ribosomal RNA", at positions 30 to 507 of the family's 1533-position model. The record is from RNAcentral.